Molecule: ribosomal RNA, 500 nt
Filed under: uncultured bacterium
Lineage: Bacteria
Description: partial 16S ribosomal RNA
Rfam family: Bacterial small subunit ribosomal RNA
Source: RNAcentral
AUUGAACGCUGGCGGCAUGCCUUACACAUGCAAGUCGAACGGCAGCACGGGAGCAAUCCUGGUGGCGAGUGGCGAACGGGUGAGUAAAGUAUCGGAACGUGCCCAGUCGGGGGGGAUAACGUAGCGAAAGUUACGCUAAUACGGCAUACGAUCUAUGGAUGAAAGCGGGGGAUCGCAAGACCUCGCGCGAUUGGAGCGGCCGAUAUCAGGUUAGGUAGUUGGUGGGGUAAAGGCUCACCAAGCCGACGAUCUGUAGCUGGUCUGAGAGGACGACCAGCCACACUGGGACUGAGACACGGCCCAGACUCCUACGGGAGGCAGCAGUGGGGAAUUUUGGACGAUGGGCGAAAGCCUGAUCCAGCCAUGCCGCGUGCAGGAUGAAGGCCUUCGGGUUGUAAACUGCUUUUGUACGGAACGAAAAGGUUUGGCCUAAUAAGCUGAGCUCAUGACGGUACCGUAAGAAUAAGCACCGGCUAACUACGUGCCAGCCGCCGCGGUAA